UUGCAUAGUAUACAGUGUUCAAGGUCAGGCCAGAUCUAUAUCUGUGGACAUCAGGCCUUCAACCUCCUCUUCUGUCGCUCUUUCCCUGGCUUGCCCUGCUCAGCCCACGGGACUCCUUGCUCUUUCUCAAAUGGCAUGGAGAAGGUGCUUGCAUCUCAGAACUUCCACACUUGUUCCCUCUUCCUGGGGAGCUCAUCCCUCCCUUAUUUGCUUUCUGCUUAUUUCAGGUCUGUGCUCAAAUGUCACCUUCCCUGAGGCCUUUGUCAUCCAACGUCAAAGACUGAGCCCCACCGUUACCCUCAGCCUCUAGUCCCCUUGUUGCUGGCAGUUGCUAUAAAGUUGGCACCAACUGAUGGGGGCUUUAUAUAUAUCAGAACAAAACAUUGCCCAGGUCCUACACCAUCUUCAUGAUCAUUUGGUAUGUUUAUGUGCGUUAUUGCAGCUAUUACGUCAGUCUAUCUCACUGAGGUUUUUCCUAGUUUUUGUUGGCUUUCUACUUUACCAAACAUGAUGUUCUUUUCUAGUGAUUGGUCUUUCCUCAUGACAUAUCCAAUGUCACCAAGCCAAAGUCUUGUCAUCUUCACUUCUAAGGAAUAUUCUGGUUGUAGUUCUUCUAAGACUGAUUGAUUCAUAGUUUUGGCAGUCCACGGUAUGCUCAAUAUUCUUUGGCAACAUUUAUUUUUCUACAUAGCUCUUACCAUCAUCUAACACUAUACUUUUAGCUGUAUUUAUUUAUUUCCUGUCCCCUACUCCUCUAGAAUGUGAGCUCAUGGAGUAGGAACACAGUCUGUUUUAUUCACAGCUGCACCUCCAGAGCCCAGAAAAUCCUGACAUAUACAGUAAAAUCUGCAAAAGCCGGAACCUGUGUAAGGCGGAAAUGUGUCAGAGAAGGAAAGCUCAAAUAUUUUCUACUAAUAGAAAGCAGUAGAAAAAUGUAAGACUGCACCCUAUCAAAGGUGGAAAAUUUUUCGAGACCUGGAAAAACAAGGCAGUCCCGUCAAGUUCCGGCUCUUACAGGUUUCACUGUAGUAAGUGCUCAGUAACUAUUUGUUGAAUGAAUUGGAUGGACUUGCUUCAUCAUGUAUUUACUCCAAUAUCCUAUAAAGCCUGUAAUUCAUGGCACCCAUAAAAUAAUCUGUUCCUCUCUCAGGGCAAUUAUUGCAUUCUGUCCCAUAUUUGCAUUACUUGUAUAAACCCAAAACCCACCAUUACUUGUAUGUGAGUAUUACAUUUCCCUAUAAGGAAACCCUGGUGGUAUAGUGGUUACAAGUUUGGCUUCUAACGAAAAGGUCGGCAGUUCAAAUCCACCAGGUGCUCCUUAGAAACCCUAUGGGGUAGUUCUAUUCUAUAGGGUCGCUAUGAGUAAGAAUCAACUCGACGGCAAUGGGUUUGGCUUCGUUUUUUGGGUUGGACUCCAAGGUUUUUUAAGGCAGAACCUAUACCCUACUCAUCAUUAAGGUAACUAGUACAUAAUAAACAUUAAAAAAAAAAAAAGAAUAUGUUUUACCUUAAUGGCCCAGUGCCUUGAAGGAUAGGAAGAAUAAAAAUCCCUAAAAUAAGAGUCAAUCCAUUUCUUACAUUUUGUUACCAAGGCAAGAAAAUAUAUUAUAUCUUAGAAACAUUUCAACAAAGAAACAAGUAAAAUAGUGUUGUGUUUAGCCCUCAUUUCACUGUGAAAUCCAGUUAGCUGGUAAAUGCUUUUUUUUGAACACUCUGACUUAGCUGCUAUAAGGGCUCAUUGGAAAAAGAGAAAUGAAUCUUACUUUCAUUAAACCAGGGAAAUGAAACAUAACAUACAAAUGCGUGCCAAAGUCAUUGAAGAUAUUCAAUUGAAAACAAGAACUAACUUCUCUGGGUACAGAAAAAAAUUUUUUUUGCAUCAUUUGGCAUGGUAGUAUGUAUGUCAUUGUGGUCUUUAGCUUCCUGUAAAAUUCGUGACUAUGUUUGCCCUGAUUUCCAUUAGGUUUUAGCUCCAAAUUUUCAAAAUGAAUGUGAUAGGUGCAAUGAACCAGGCUUUAGUGGGCCAAAAAAAUGGACAGAGCAAGUAGAGACAGACUAGAGCUUAGAAAAGAGAUCACGGGAGAAAGGUAGGUGAUGUUUAUGGGAGUGCUAUGGAUUGAAUUGUGUCCCCCCUCUCCCCCCGCCCCCCAAAAAAUAUAUUGAAGUCCCAGCCUCUGGUAUCUGUGAACAUUACCUUGUCUGAAAAUAGGAUCUUUGAAGAUGUUAACCAUUUAGGCUAACAUGGGGUCAUCCUGGAGUAGGGCGGGUCCUACUCCAAUUUGACUGUUGUCCUUAUGAAAGAGGAGGAGAGACCCAGAGAGACAGAGGGAAGACAGUCACAUGAGCACAGAGUUCUGCUGCAGCUGCAAGCCAAGGAGCACACUAAGGCUACCAGAGCUGAAAAAGGCAAGAAUGCAUCUUCUUCUGCAGUCUUCAAGAGAAGCUGGUCCUGCCAACACCUUGAAUUCAGACUACUGGCCUCCAGAACUGUAAGACAGUAAUGUCCUGUUCUUAUAAGUCACCCAAUUUGUGGUACUUUGUUACAGCCGUCCUAGGAACCUAAACCAGGCAAUCUAAGAGAAGCAAAAAGGAAGCAACUUGGAGAAUGUAGCAUCACAAAGUCCAAAUGAAGUUUCCAGUAGCUACCAUAGGAAGUGCUGAAGUUUUGGGCUAAGUGACUGCUUCCCAAUGGAUUGUGAUCAGAACAAAAGCCUGCUAGAUGACGGGAAGGAUCAUUUCCAAGGGCUCCAUCGUUUUCAAGGGAGAAAAUUGAAACUUUGCUGUAAUCAAGAAUUGCCUGUUCUGCUUCCGGCAUUGAGCUUCCAUGAGGUGGUGUAUAACACAUGCUCUGCAUUCGUCUACCUAAAUCAGGUUUAAAGCUGGGGCCUGAAACUUGUAUCAAAAUUCCAAAUGCUGGUUUUCCCCAGAGGAAGGACUAAGGUUCACAAAGUCAGGGAGAUUGAAAAGAGGGAGGCGAGGAAUAGGAAACAGUGUGAAUCCAAGAGGAAGGUCAAAAGGCUCCUUCUCCUGAGAGCUCCAAGCUUUAGUCCAACAAUUUCCUGGACAUGUGGGUAGAGUUAACUGAAAAGUGAAAUAAAAAAAUAUUUCUUAUGCCUCUUACUCUUCCUUUAUAAGUGCUUCUAUAUUUAAAGCCUUCACAGAGUAAUGAUAAGGACAAGAACUAUCAAACAAACGAACACUGAUUUUCACACAGCCCACAUUAGAAUACAAUUUAAGAAAACAGAAAAUUAUCCUGGAUUAUGAAACGUUAUGAUUUCUGAACUUUCCUGGGGCUUAAUUAUGGUAAAAAAAAGACAUGGUGGAGAUGUCUUACGCCCUCGUCUAACUUCACAAGGGGAAGGAGAACCAUUAUCAACAUCAACAGCCCAAGGCUGAUUCCUAUGAGGCAGAGGUCAGACAUCAUCAGCCGUCCCUCCCACAGUAAUCUCUACUUCUCUGCUGGGUUCAAUAAUUCAUUGCAAUGGCAACACAGAACUCACAGACCUUACUCACAGUUACGGAAUUUAUUCGGGAAGUAAAAGGUUACAAUUCAGGAUCAGGAAGGACUUAGGAUAUAGUUCUUCCAUCAAGACAGCCUCUGCUCAGCAAUGUCCGCUCUCUCUGUCUGGCCCUUGGCCUCUCAGUCUGGCCUCUGCCCUGCUCAAGCAAGUGUUACAAAGCUCUUUAUUUCCUCCAGUAAGUGCCCAGAGGCACCCAACUCCGCCAGCAAGCCUUAACCCAAAGGCACUUAACUUUAUCACUCCUUGGGCCAGAAAGCUCACUGUGAUGUCUCCUGCCAGUCUCCUGGUUCUGCUGUCUCUGCUACCAUUUCUCUGCUUCUUACUGUCUUGCUGUUUCCAGUAUUAUAGCUCUCUUUCUCUGUCUCCUGGGUCUAGGAAGGUCUCAGUGCAGGGAUCCCAGGUCCAAAGGACACUCUCCGCUCCCGUCUCUUCUUCUUGGUGGUAGUCAGAUCCCCUUCUGCUCCGGGAUUAACUCUCUUUUAAGCCUAACAGGAUGGCAAUACUGACCAAUCCCCUCGUUAGGGUUCCAUACACUUUAUUUCAUGGUCGCACCCCCACAAGGGUGCCAAGCACCUUAUUGACAUUAUUAGCAAGUUAUCCAAUCUCUUUGGUGGGCCACAAGCACCUAAUUUGCAUAGUCUCAUCCAGUCAUUUGGUAGGGGUUAAAAGACUAUGGCUAGAAGAGCAAUAUUAAGUAAUUUUCUACACAGCAAUUAUUUUAAUAGCAGCUUUAUUGAGAUAUAAUUCUCAUAUCAUAAAAUUUACCCUUUGAAAACACACAAAUCAGUGGCUUUUAGGAUAUUCAAAGAAUUGUAUAAUCCUCACUACUAAGCUUAGAACAUUUUCAUCACCCCCAAAAGAAACCCCAUACCCAUUAGCAGUCUCUCCCUAUCCCCCACUACCCCUUGAUCCCUGGAAAUCACUUAUCUACUAUCUGUCUCUAUAUGUUUGCCUAUUCUAAACAUUUCGUAUAUAUGGAAACAUACAAUAUUUGGUCUUCUUCCACUUGGCAUAAUGUUUCCAAGAUUCACCCAUGUUGUAGCAUAUAUAAAUACUGCAUUCCUUUUUACUGUCAAAUUUUUAAACUGAAAAGAUCAAGUUCAAUAGUCCAAUAAAUCCUAUUUGCUGGAUGUUUAUUACCUGGAGAAGCCUUUUUGUAUUAGCUUGAUGUGAUUCACUCCAUUUCUGGGCUUGACUAAAGAACAACUUGGUAAGUAUAAUUCCACUCCUGCCAGGGCUCUGGCUGAAAACAAAACGCAAGCACAAAUUGAGUAAUUUGAGGAGACAACUUAUGGCGCAGCAGUUGAGAGCCCAGCUGCUAACCAAAAGGCCAGCAGUUUGAAUCCACCAGCUGCUCCUUGGAAACCCUAUGGGGCAGUUCUACUCUGUCCUAUAGGGUGGCUAUGAGUUGGAAUUGACUCCACGACAAUGGCUUGGUUUUUUUGGUACUAAAAGGACUAUUCAGGAAAUUGUGGGCAGAAUGUGGAUUCUACAUGAUAGUGCAGGAUCUAACAAGUAGAAGGAACAGCGGGCUCCUAUGGACCUCCAGGCCUGAGGGGCAAUGAAGGAAGCAGUGUCUAUAUCCCAGAGAGAGAAAGAGAGCUGUGUGGAGAGGGCUACCUGACAGGAGCGGGAUGAUAGGCGAGAGAUAACCUUAGAGGGCCAGGAAGUUAGGGAGCCUGGCAGAACUCUCCACUUAAGAGCAGCUGCAGUAGGACAGGAAGGGAAACUGGGCUGAGUGGGUACUUCCUGGUGACCCACGUGUCCAGAGAGAAAGUACUACAGAGGGAUCAGAGUGACGAGUGAGCCAGUGAGGUGAGUGUGUGGUUCCAUUCCUCCCCAGUGACAUCUCUAAAUCUUCAGUAAAGUUACAGAGACCAUGAGAUACUUGGCGAGAAGAUCUUCUUUUACUUUUUUUAAAUUAAAAACUAGAAUAAGGUUAAACUUAGAAAGUGGGUUUGAAUGCAGAGAUACAAAAAAGAGAAAAUAGUGUCAAAAACUCAUAGAAAAAUCAUGGAGAGGGCUUUAUUUUUUCCUGACCCAUGCAAAUCCUCAGAGGGUAGGGACAGAAGUUGGGAGGAGGGCUUGAGUAACGUCCAGGGGACCUGGAUACAUUUAUAUCCAGAAACAAAGAACCAAACAUUUUAGACGGCUCUCUCACGCUUCUUUAGUUAAAGGAAAUUUAAAAUGCGUGUGCCAUUAUUUCUCGUUCAAUAUUAUAAGUUUUUUCUCUUGUUUAGUUAUUAUUGCAAUAGUGACUAUUGUUAUUAUCGUUUAGUUUGUACUGCAAUAACAUUGCUUUUCCCCUUUCAUUGCAAAUGAACAGUAUCACAGCAAUAUUAUAGAUUAAAUAUGCUUUGUUUGUUAUUUUGAAAACUAACCAUCACUUGUAUAAUUUCUGUUACGACCUGCAUUUCGAUCCCGAAUAACAGGCUUUAAAACAAACUUGUGUAAUGUACCUGUGUGUGAGCUGGAGACUGUUGGUCUUAACUGCUGAGUCUAAGCAAACUGCCAGGAUGAGAUAGUCAGGAGAGAAGGAAGUGGGGGGAACAAAGAAACGAGCUUCUUUUUAUAGGGAGAAAAAGACAUACAGAGUGGUAGGAAUAUUUGGGUAGUGCUGACCAGAACGGAAAUUUAUUGUAUUGAAAGAAGGCAACAUAUUAGAUUAAAAACAUGUUGUCAGUGAGACAGUGAGACAGGACUCGCUGGAACAGGAUCAGUUGGGCCCUUUCCCCUGCCUCCCCAGCACAAAGGCUGGGAAAAAGACAAGCAGGCCAGAGAGUGGACUAAACAACCUGGUACAACCAUAAACCACCUCCUGGAGAGUAGAACAGAACACACAGGCCCUGUGGGCAAACUGUUCUGCCUGAGGGGUGGUAUGAACGGAAAUGUUCCAAGAUGUUGCAAAUAAACUGUUUAUACCGUUCUUGCAGGACUCCACAGGUACAGAAUGUGUGCAAAAGAAGUAAAAACAACCACUGUUUGUCCUUCCCGUGCCUGCCAAAGGGGGUGAUGUGACAAAGGGGAACCAGUGAGCCUGCGUCACAUUCCAUAAUGAGUUAUGUCAAGGAGAACAAAAGGACUUCCCUUUUGAAGACGAAAUCCUGCGCAGUCACCUGCAUUUGGGUUUCCUAAGCCCUUCUCAGAAAUCUCCACCUCCCUCCCCCCAUCCGCCACCAGAACCUCAUGAAUAAACAUCAAAACCCAUCCUCCCCUCCUUGCUGAAACCCGUAAAUACUUGGUUCAUGGGCAAAUCAGUAAGACAGUCUCUCUGGAGGUUCUAGCCCUUACUGUCUCAUUUUGCUAGCUGCUGGCAAAGUAAAUUCGCUUGUGUGACUCCAGGUUGCCUCAAUAGUCUUACUGGGCUGCAAGAAUCUGGUUGGGUUCAACUGAGGAAGGAGUCCUCAGUAACAUCAGGAGUUCUGAAGAAUAUAUAUUUUCCAGCAAGGCGUUGAGACAGAGAAACUAGAUAAAGAGAAAUUGGUUGCAGAAUGUUCACAUUCUUGGGAUCAACCAAAGUGAAGCAAGCCAAGUUCACAGUUGAAGUUAGUCCAAAUGGAGAGAGGUUCCAGCUAAAUUCAUGGUGCCAUCAGCACCAUUCUAAUCUUAAUGAUUUUGUAAUAAGUAAGGCCACAUGCAGAUAAAAUAAGCAGUACUUAGGAGUGGGGAGGCAUUUGUGCAGGGAGGGGGGUGGAGAAGGCUGAGGUCAGGAGGGAAGACACUGCUCUGUGAUCAAUACAGAAGAGAGCUUGGCUUGAGUGGUACAGCUUCUCAUGCUGCAGUGUGCACGCACAUCACCUGGGGAUCUUGUUAAAAUGCAGAUUCUAGCUCAGUAGGUCUGGGGAAGGGCCUGGGAUUCUGCAUUUCUAAAAGGCUCCCAGUUGACAUCAACAUUGUUGGUCCAUAGUUCACAUAACAGAACCCUUGCCUCUCCUUCUGGCAUGGGUACUCCAAGUGUAGAUAAACUAUAUAUUCAUGAGUCCAUGUCACCUGUUCUACCAGGUAGAAUUGGUGCCUAGUAAGAAGCUCCAGGAAUGGGCAACAGUAGAAGUCAUUCUCACUUUUGUGAAUUGGCUUGACUAGUCCUGUGGUCACUUGCAAUCUUGACCAGUUUCUCUACCCUUGCUUCCAUUAAAUCUAUUCAAAUGCGCUAGGAAAAGUAGAAGGAGGGGUCAGUGGAAAGAUUAUUUAUUAAGUAAAAAAAUAAUUUUACCUGGAUUAUGAAGAAGACACAGAGUAUGAUGUUGUUAAGAGUACAAAGCUUUAUCAGAGCUUUCCAGUCUUAAGAAGCUUAUGAUGUAGUGCAGGGGUUCUUAUCUCGAGAAAAGGGAAACCUAUAGCUCUGUAUCACUAAUCUCUAACUGAAAUUUAGCACUUCCUUGCAUUAUAAAAUUAGGCUACACCAUGGUAUUAGCAGAAAACCUGGUGGUUUAGUGGUUCAGUGCUACAGCUGCUAACCAAAAGGUUGGCAGUUCAAAUCCAGCAGGCGCUCCUUAGAACCUUAUAGGGCAGUUUACUCUGUCCUAUAGGGUAGCUAUGAGUCAAAAUUCACUCAACAGCAAUGGGUUUGGUUUUCUGGUUUAUGAUAUUAGCAAAAUAUACAACUUCAUCAUCACUAGAAAUCGCAUUUCAAACUACAUUAUUGUUGUAAAUAUCUCUAUAUAUCAUUUAUGUUCAUCUUUGAAAUUAUACUCAUUAUUAUACUGCCACUAGGUUUCACAUGGAAACCCUGGUGGCAUAGUGGUUAAGAAGUACCGCUGGUAACCAAAAGGUUGGCAGUUUGAAUCCAUCAGGCGCUUCUUGGAAACUGUAUGGGGCAGUUCUAUUCUGUCCUGUAGGGUCACUACCAGUUGGAAUCGACUCGAUGGCAACAGGUUUACGGGUUUUUUUUU
Molecule: long non-coding RNA, 8413 nt
Organism: Loxodonta africana (African savanna elephant)
Lineage: Eukaryota; Metazoa; Chordata; Mammalia; Proboscidea; Elephantidae
Exons: 3
Source: RefSeq, a predicted model, not a curated record